UCUGGGAUCUACUCUCAAAACCUCAAAAACCUCAUGGAGUCUUUAGUUUCUCAAUCGUCACAGAAAAGUUUCUCCACAACAACUUCCGGGGAUGGCCAAAAUGCCAUAGUUGGGCUAUACCAAUGCAGAGGCGAUCUCACAACACCACAGUGCUACACAUGUGUCAGCAAAAUCCCAGACAUGGUUAAAAAACUCUGUGG
Molecule: unclassified non-coding RNA, 200 nt
Filed under: Hevea brasiliensis (rubber tree)
Lineage: Eukaryota; Viridiplantae; Streptophyta; Magnoliopsida; Malpighiales; Euphorbiaceae
Source: RNAcentral